GUGACUGCGUACCUUUUGUAUAAUGGGUCAGCGACUUAUAUUCUGUAGCAAGGUUAACCGUAUAGGGGAGCCGGAGGGAAACCGAGUCUUAAUUGGGCGUUAAGUUGCAGGGUAUAGACCCGAAACCCGGUGAUCUAGCCAUGGGCAGGUUGAAGGUUGGGUAACACUAACUGGAGGACCGAACCGACUAAUGUUGAAAAAUUAGCGGAUGACCUGUGGCUGGGGGUGAAAGGCCAAUCAAACCGGGAGAUAGCUGGUUCUCCCCGAAAGCUAUUUAGGUAGCGCCUCGUGAAUUCAUCUCCGGGGGUAGAGCACUGUUUCGGCUAGGGGGCCAUCCCGGCUUACCAACCCGAUGCAAACUGCGAAUACCGGAGAAUGUUAUCACGGGAGACACACGGCGGGUGCUAACGUCCGUCGUGAAGAGGGAAACAACCCAGACCGCCAGCUAAGGUCCCAAAGUCAUGGUUAAGUGGGAAACGAUGUGGGAAGGCCCAGACAGCCAGGAUGUUGGCUUAGAAGCAGCCAUCAUUUAAAGAAAGCGUAAUAGCUCACUGGUCGAGUCGGCCUGCGCGGAAGAUGUAACGGGGCUAAACCAUGCACCGAAGCUGCGGCAGCGACGCUGAUGCGUUGUUGGGUAGGGGAGCGUUCUGUAAGCCUGCGAAGGUGACCUGUGAGGGUUGCUGGAGGUAUCAGAAGUGCGAAUGCUGACAUAAGUAACGAUAAAGCGGGUGAAAAGCCCGCUCGCCGGAAGACCA
This 755-nucleotide ribosomal RNA is filed under the name Salmonella enterica subsp. enterica serovar Typhimurium. RNAcentral describes it as "partial 23S ribosomal RNA". It matches the Rfam family "Bacterial large subunit ribosomal RNA", at positions 593 to 1347 of the family's 2925-position model. Lineage: Bacteria; Pseudomonadati; Pseudomonadota; Gammaproteobacteria; Enterobacterales; Enterobacteriaceae. RNAcentral also lists the same sequence under 6 other names. The record is from RNAcentral.